Non-coding RNA from Pangasianodon gigas (Mekong giant catfish), 72 nucleotides. The record is from the annotation of a GenBank genome assembly. Lineage: Eukaryota; Metazoa; Chordata; Actinopteri; Siluriformes; Pangasiidae.
UCCCUGGUGGUCUAGUGGCUAGGAUUUGGCAGGCUCACUGCCGUGGCCUGCAUUCAAUUCCCGGUAGGGGAA